UGGGGAAUAUUGCACAAUGGGGGAAACCCUGAUGCAGCGACGCCGCGUGAGCGAAGAAGGCUUUCGAGUCGUAAAGCUCUGUCCUAUGAGAAGAUAAUGACGGUAUCAUAGGAGGAAGCCCUGGCUAAAUACGUGCCAGCAGCCGCGGUAAUACGGAUGGGGCGAGCGUUGUCCGGAAUUAUUGGGCGUAAAGGGUACGUAGGCGGUUUUUUAAGUCAGGUGUCAAAGCGUGGAGCUUAACUCCAUUAAGCACUUGAAACUGAAAGACUUGAGUGAAGGAGAGGAAAGUGGAAUUCCUAGUGUAGCGGUGAAAUGCGUAGAUAUUAGGGGGAAUACCGGUGGCGAAGGCGACUUUCUGGACUUUUACUGACGCUCAGGUACGAAAGCGUGGGGAGCAAACAGG
Molecule: ribosomal RNA, 403 nt
Filed under: Verrucomicrobiota bacterium
Lineage: Bacteria; Pseudomonadati; Verrucomicrobiota
Description: Verrucomicrobia bacterium partial 16S ribosomal RNA
Rfam family: Bacterial small subunit ribosomal RNA
Source: RNAcentral